GAAUAGAAAGUGGCAUCCAAAAAUCGCAAAUUUGACCUAAAAAUUAGCUACAAGAAUUUGACCAAUACCAGCUUCCUCAAAGCUCGAUUACGGGAAGAAAGGCGAACAAAAGAGAGAGCCAGAGCGGGAGAGACAAACACAAACAGCCUAGCCAGUUACCGCUUAGGCGAAUUUUCGCAGCAAUGGGAAGUAAAGAGCGAGCCAAGGAAAGAAGAGAAAAGAGACGUCAAGAGAUUUCACUCCUCCGAACUAUUCCCUACUCCGAUCAUCAAAGGUGGUGGUCCUCAGAAACUGUUGCUGUGGUGACCGGUGCUAAUAGAGGAAUAGGAUUUGAGAUUGUAAGACAACUUGCAGACCAUGGAUUGACAGUUGUAUUGACAUCAAGAGAAAGUAG
Molecule: unclassified non-coding RNA, 394 nt
Filed under: Hevea brasiliensis (rubber tree)
Lineage: Eukaryota; Viridiplantae; Streptophyta; Magnoliopsida; Malpighiales; Euphorbiaceae
Source: RNAcentral